This 26-nucleotide non-coding RNA is filed under the name Cricetulus griseus (Chinese hamster). Lineage: Eukaryota; Metazoa; Chordata; Mammalia; Rodentia; Cricetidae. The record is from RNAcentral.
AACAGCAGGGCAAGCCAGAAUGGAGG